RNAcentral lists this transfer RNA (63 nucleotides) under Chudania hellerina. RNAcentral describes it as "tRNA-Gly". The record is from RNAcentral. Lineage: Eukaryota; Metazoa; Arthropoda; Insecta; Hemiptera; Cicadellidae.
ACUUAAUUAUUACAAAAAGUAUAUUAAGCUUCCAACUUAAAGAUUUAUAAAAUAAAUUAAGUA